UACGGAGGAUGCGAGCGUUAUCCGGAUUUAUUGGGUUUAAAGGGUGCGCAGGCGGAGGUGCAAGUCAGUGGUCAAAUUGCGGGGCUCAACCCCGUACUGCCGUUGAAACUGCAUCCCUUGAGUGCGCGAGAAGUAUGCGGAAUGCGUGGUGUAGCGGUGAAAUGCAUAGAUAUUACACAGAACACCGAUUGCGAAGGCAGCUUGCUAGGCCGGAUCUGACACUGAUGCACGAAAGCGUGGGGAUCGAACAGG
This 252-nucleotide ribosomal RNA is filed under the name uncultured Bacteroidales bacterium. RNAcentral describes it as "partial 16S ribosomal RNA". It matches the Rfam family "Bacterial small subunit ribosomal RNA", at positions 524 to 776 of the family's 1533-position model. The record is from RNAcentral. Lineage: Bacteria; Pseudomonadati; Bacteroidota; Bacteroidia; Bacteroidales.